Molecule: ribosomal RNA, 253 nt
Filed under: uncultured bacterium
Lineage: Bacteria
Description: partial 16S ribosomal RNA
Rfam family: Bacterial small subunit ribosomal RNA
Source: RNAcentral
UACGGAGGGUGCGAGCGUUAAUCGGAAUAACUGGGCGUAAAGGGCACGCAGGCGUGCUUUUAAGUGAGAUGUGAAAUCCCCGGGCUUAACCUGGGAAUAGCAUUUCAGACUGGGAGUCUAGAGUACUUUAGGGAGGGGUAGAAUUCCCCGUUUCGCGGUGAAAUGCGUAGAGAUGUGGAGGAAUACCGAAGGCGAAGGCAGCCCCUUGGGAAUGUACUGACGCUCAUGUGCGAAAGCGUGGGGAGCAAACAGG